Molecule: long non-coding RNA, 1880 nt
Organism: Oncorhynchus kisutch (coho salmon)
Lineage: Eukaryota; Metazoa; Chordata; Actinopteri; Salmoniformes; Salmonidae
Exons: 3
Source: RefSeq, a predicted model, not a curated record
AGAACAUCCUUUGAACCAUCUGAUGCAUGGACAUCCUGUGCCGGGGUGAUCUGAGCAUAAGCGUCCAGUUGUGGAGACUACAGCACAUCGAGCCUGUGGACAGAUAGACAAGAGGCUUGACCUGCGGAACAUCAGGCGCACCCCACGAGAAGCAGUGCAUGAUCAACGCCACGCUCAGCAAGGACAUCUGCUGGAAGUGAUGUACUCUUUCAUUCUGGGGGUACUGACAGGAGGAGCAAUAUGAGUCUGCUAGAGGCUGUCAUGCUCAAUGGGGUGUGUGAUGGAAGCUUUGGGGUUCCACACAACGAAGAAGCAGGUGUCCAUUCCAGGGAUGUGGAGCUGACCUUGGACCUGGUGCCAGUAAGGAUGGUCUUCACGGAUAAAAUCCUUUGACUUCACUGCCUCUUCAAUGGUAAGGUCCCUUGCACCAUAGGUACACUUGACCUCCAUCACUGCUGUGGAGUUCACCAGACCAUCUGGUGGGGCACCCAGGAUCCCAGAUCCUGUGACCCAAAGCCCUGAUUCCUGCACAUGCAUCCCUAAAGCCAUUUUGAAUGCCUUGAUGCCCUCCUUUUUGUUAUCUGAGCCCCACAUUACAGACAAAACCCCAUCCAAAGACUAAGAUUUUUAGCAGCGAUGGAGUAACGCUCUUGGCCCUAACCACAGAUUCAUACUUGCUGGCCGUCGACCUCCUCCUCAUUGUGUGCCAGUUACGGUUGGUGCGCUGUCCAACUGUUGCCUGCCGUAUAGCCUCCUACUGCUCCACCGAGAGCGCCAUGACAGCCAGGAUGCCUGCAUGCCCCAGGUGCUCUUGAACAAUGUCUGGUACAGAAAGGGAUAACAAGGAGGGUAGCAGUUGUUCUGGCUCAGGUUCAAGGAGACAUGCCAUUCCACUGAACCUGCCCCAGAGACGGUUCCUUAGCCACUGAAGAUCCUCCUCUGUGGGCUCUCAGGACAGAGGGUUGUAGUCUUUGGCCGGGUACAGGUCCUCCAUUGACGGCACCUGGUUGUGCACGGCUGGCUUCCUCCACUCGCAUUCCACAUCCAUAUGGCCGAUAUUGUGAACCGCCAAAAUAGCUGCAUGGCUACCUGUAUGAGCUCCACGGAGGCAUUCUCAUGUGGUAGAGAGAAUCCCCUGGUCACCUAUAGAGACCUGGCAAGGGGAAGGAUGUGCCACAUGCCUUUCUUUCAAUGUGUGACUUUGAACACAUUAGUUGUAAGAAAUGUGCUAUAUAAAUUAAGUUUGAUUUGAUUGAUUACAUUACAGAUGUAGAAUAUUUAAUAAACUGUCAUUUUCAAGAGAACAAGUGCAGUUUUUCCAUAAAUGUAUAAUUGGUAACUUUGUCAUGGCUUCAAUAAGUAGUGAGUGCAGGAGUCAGGCACAGAGAGCAGGGUAGUUCAAAAGAUGUGGAUCUUUAAUAUUCCAACAAAACCAGAGAGACGGUCACGCCACACACACAAGGGCGCGUAACGUCCCAGUCCAAACAAACAGGACGAAACUGAUCGGAAAAAAGAAACCACAGGAAUAAUCAAACACCAUAAACAGAAAAACAAGCCCGCACAAAAGCCGGCGGGCCUACUGGGUUUAAAUAGCCCACAACCAAACCUAAACACGAAACAGGUGCAAAAAAUCAGACACAACUAAAUGAAACAGAAAAGGGGAUCGGUGGCAGCUAGUAGGCCGGCGACAAUGACCGCUGAGCGCCGCCCGAACAGGAAGAGGCACCAUCUUCUGCGGGAUUCGUGACAAACUUGGGAUUUUAACACUUGACUUAUCAAACAUAUAGUGGGAAGGAUUCUAUAAAGCAAGAUUGUGUGAAUGCAUGUACCACUCCGAAUAAAUAAAUACUUUGCCUUUGAAGAUUUGUCUCUGGUCAUGA